RNAcentral lists this transfer-messenger RNA (404 nucleotides) under Legionella norrlandica. RNAcentral describes it as "Standard tmRNA". It matches the Rfam family "transfer-messenger RNA". From Rfam's summary of the family: Bacterial tmRNA, also known as 10Sa RNA or SsrA, is named for its dual tRNA and mRNA-like properties. Its role is to liberate the mRNA from a stalled ribosome. To accomplish this part of the tmRNA is used as a reading frame that ends in a translation stop signal. Lineage: Bacteria; Pseudomonadati; Pseudomonadota; Gammaproteobacteria; Legionellales; Legionellaceae. The record is from RNAcentral.
GGGGGCGACCUGGCUUCGACGUGGGUUGCAAAACCGGAAGUGCAUGCCGAGAAUGAGAUCUCUCGUAAAUAAGACUCAAUUAAAUAUAAAUGCAAACGAUGAAAACUUUGCUGGUGGUGAAGCUAUCGCUGCCUAAUAAGCACGAUUAGAUAAACCCCAAUCGUGUACUGGCCAAAAACCCAGUAUCCCGUUGACCGAGCUCGCUUAUCGGUAUCGAAUCAACGGUCAUAGAAGAUAAGCUAGUACUUUAAUCUAUCCUGGGUUAUGGUGCGAAAUUUAGGGAAUCGCUGUGUAUCAUCCUGCCCGUCGGAGGAGCCACAGUUAAAUUUAAUAGACAAGGCUAAGCAUGUAGAGCUAAAGGCAGAGGACUUGCGGACGCGGUUCGAUUCCCGCCGCCUCCACCA